RNAcentral lists this ribosomal RNA (396 nucleotides) under uncultured bacterium. RNAcentral's name for it is "partial 16S ribosomal RNA". It matches the Rfam family "Bacterial small subunit ribosomal RNA", at positions 360 to 774 of the family's 1533-position model. The record is from RNAcentral.
AAUUUUGGACAAUGGGGGCAACCCUGAUGCAGCAACGCCGCGUGAGCGAUGAAGGCCUUCGGGUCGUAGAGCUCUGUCCUAAGGGAAGAUAAUGACGGUACCUUAGGAGGAAGCCCCGGCCAACUACGUGCCAGCAGCCGCGGUAAUACGUAGGGGGCAAGCGUUAUCCGGAAUCAUUGGGCGUAAAGGGUGCGUAGGCUGCCCUAUAGGUCAGUGGUCAAAGGCUACGGCUCAACCGUAGUAAGCCUUUGAAACUGUAGGGCUUGAGUGCAGGAGAGGAGAGUGGAAUUCCUAGUGUAGCGGUGAAAUGCGUAGAUAUUAGGAGGAACACCAGUGGCGAAGGCGACUCUCUGGACUGCAACUGACGCUGAGGCACGAAAGCGUGGGGAUCAAACA